GACAUUCAGAGGCGCAGUGACCUAUACCGUGAGAGAGAGAGAGAGAGAGAGAGAGAGAGAGAGAGAGAGAGAGAGAGAGACGAUCAUAUUCGAACGUGUUAAAAACCCAAAAAGAACCGUGUUCCCUUUCCAUCCAUCACAGUCUCAUAGCAAAUAGCAAACCAACUUGUUCAUAUUCCUCAAUCUUCAUCGCUCUCCCAAAUUUCCCCUCUUUUUUUUUUACCGAAACCCUAGCUAUGCACCCUUACGACAACAGAUACUCCGACGCCACUUCUUUUCGCGACCGUCGCAGUGACCUGGUGCCGCCGUCUUUUGGCGGCCGCGGCGGUCCGCGUCCUUACGGUGGUCCUUACGCCGUAUCUGGACCCAAUGGUUUCGGAUCCGGACCCGUCGCCCCGGUUCCGCCCUUUGUGCCCCCUCGUGGAGGCUUUGACGUUGGACGAGGUGGAAGAUUUGCCAAUGGUCGUGGUGGUGGUGGUGGUGGUGGUGGAAGGGGUCGUGGCGGUGGAAGAGGCGGAACUCACGGUUUUAGGGGCUCCGGGAGAGGAGGUAAUGGAGGCAGAAGUUCCGGGUUUGGAGGUAGACAUGGUGGUAGAUCUUCUAAGGAUGACUUGGACAAUAUUGCACUCCCCAAGCAAGAUUUUAGAAACUUGGUCCCUUUUGAGAAGAACUUCUACUUUGAGAGCCCUUCGAUUAAGGCCAUGACUGAUCAUGAUGUUAUGCAGUACCGUGCCAGUAGAGAUAUCACCGUGCAAGGGCAUGAUGUGCCGAAACCUAUUCGGAUGUUUAAUGAGGCAAAUUUUCCUGAUUACUGCCUUGAGGUCUUUGCCAAAUUGGGUUUUGUUGAGCCCACUCCAAUUCAGGCUCAGGGUUGGCCCAUGGCUCUGAAGGGUAGAGAUUUAAUUGGCAUUGCUGAGACUGGCUCGGGUAAAACUUUGGCAUAUCUGCUUCCUGCUUUAGUGCAUGUCAAAGCACAACCUCGAUUGGCACAUGGUGAAGGUCCCAUUGUCUUAAUUUUAGCACCAACUAGAGAGUUAGCUGUUCAAAUUCAAGAACAAGCUCUGAAAUUUGGUUCACAGGCAAGUAUUAGAAGUACAUGCAUCUAUGGUGGUGCACCAAAGGGGCCUCAAAUCCGUGACCUUAAAAGAGGUGUUGAGAUUGUUAUUGCUACACCUGGUCGUCUGAUAGAUAUGUUGGAAGCUCAGCAUACAGACCUGCAGAGAGUGACUUAUCUUGUCUUGGAUGAAGCUGAUCGAAUGUUGGACAUGGGAUUUGAACCUCAGAUACGGAAAAUUAUAGGCCAGAUUCGACCAGAUAGGCAGACAUUAUAUUGGAGUGCUACAUGGCCGAGGGAAGUUGAAACUCUGGCAAGGCAGUUUCUGCGCAACCCAUAUAAGGUAAUUAUUGGGUCAUCAGAACUGAAAGCAAAUCAAUCUAUCAAUCAAGUUGUUGAAAUAGUUACAGACACGGAGAAAUACAAUAGAUUGAUCAGACUGCUGAAAGAAGAGAUGGAUGGGAGCCGAAUUCUAAUAUUUAUGGAGACAAAAAAGGGUUGUGACCAAGUUACUCGACAAUUGAGAAUGGAUGGAUGGCCAGCACUAUCCAUUCAUGGUGAUAAAAAUCAGGCUGAAAGAGACUGGGUCUUGGCUGAAUUUAAGAGUGGCAGAAGUCCAGUAAUGACUGCCACUGAUGUUGCUGCACGGGGUCUUGGUAGGAUCACUGUGUGUUUAGAAUCUUAGGAUUUUUGAUAUAGGUCUAAAACUUUAACCAUAGGCGAGUCGGCCGGCUGCUGUCCAGUUCCCCUUGAUAUAAUUUGUGGUUUGGGUGUGUGUGGGGGCCAUAUUGUCAAUGUGUUGGAACUGCCUUUAACUUGACCACGGGAUUAAUGAGUUGCAUUCAGAGAUGAAAUUGUUUUGCUGCAGUCAGUAGACUACCUGCUGCUGUUAAUUUGGGAACUAUCUUUUUUAGAGAUGUCAAGUUAUCUUGAUGCAUGGGGCAGAGUUCCAUUGAUAUGGCUUGAAUAUUGAUCUAUAAUUUCUGAGGUAGUAUAUCAUUUGAUAUCCUAUAAAUUUCAUAAGAUGGGUUAAUGCGUGGCAAUGUACAUGAUUGGCAAAACAAGGUUAGUUACCUAUAAUUUGCUAGUUUUGCCUAAAGUGAUACAAGUCAUACAACUUUUGUCCGCUUUUAAGAACAUUGUCGAUUUGAUUGAUCCCCAUCCACAGUUAUAGAGCUGGUUGUCUUUGCAGCCCGGUUGACUCAUACAUGCUUAGUCGAUAAUUGGAUGUGGUAGAUGGCAGUGAUGGUGAAGCUGCUCCUUAUCCCUGAAAGGUUAAGAUGUGAAAGACAUAAAAUGUGUGAUCAAUUAUGAUUUUCCAUCAAGCCUGGAAGAUUAUAUACACAGAAUUGGUCGAACUGGUCGUGCAGGUGCUAAAGGAACUGCAUACACCUUUUUCACACAUGCCAAUGGCAAGUA
Molecule: RNA transcript, 2473 nt
Organism: Gastrolobium bilobum
Lineage: Eukaryota; Viridiplantae; Streptophyta; Magnoliopsida; Fabales; Fabaceae
Gene name: DEAD-box ATP-dependent RNA helicase 20-like
Exons: 9
Source: RefSeq, a predicted model, not a curated record